Molecule: long non-coding RNA, 639 nt
Organism: Mauremys mutica (yellowpond turtle)
Lineage: Eukaryota; Metazoa; Chordata; Testudines; Geoemydidae
Exons: 3
Source: RefSeq, a predicted model, not a curated record
AGGGGGGCACAAAAGGUCAGGUCCCCUGCAACCCCACAUUCAGACAGCAUGGGUGGCCCUGGAGGUGAGGAUGUGCCUUUAUGGUUGGACAUUGCAUCACUGAUUUCUCUAACCACACAGAUGGAUCCACUGUAAGGCCCCCCAACCUGACCACUGCUUGCACCAGGGGAGUCUCUUUGGGAAGUGUAUCCAGGAAGCUUAUUCUUAAUGACUGUGCUGAUGCUGGAUCCUGUGUCAUAAAGAGGCAACUCAUGAAGGUUUGGCCUUGAGAAGAAUAGCCAGGAGACUGCCAGCUACUAUCAAAGUGCUCACAAAGAGGUGAAGGGGACAGGGAAUAAUGUUGUUGGCUGGAUAACCUCAAGGAAGAGACGGAGAAAUCAAGGCAGCUGACAAAGUUAUUAGCGAUGCAGCGUUCUGACAGCAAGGUACUUUACACGCCGUACAAAGCCUUCCUGAGAAGGUAGGUUUCUCUGCACCACAACCAGGAUCUCAUUCACCAGGCCAGAGUGAAGAAGGAGAGACGAAUGAGUGAGGGCGGACAACUGUGACUAUGUAAGGUCCACAGCUGGGAGAAGAAUUCUGAUGCACCUUAGUAGUUCGACAGCCCAUGGAGUUCAGAGGAGACAUGGAAGAUGGAGG